CAGUAGCCGCGGGAAUACAGAGGGUGCGAGCGUUAAUCGGAUUUACUGGGCGUAAAGCGUGCGUAGGCGGCUUCUUAAGUCGGAUGUGAAAUCCCUGAGCUUAACUUAGGAAUUGCAUUCGAUACUGGGAAGCUAGAGUAUGGGAGAGGAUGGUAGAAUUCCAGGUGUAGCGGUGAAAUGCGUAGAGAUCUGGAGGAAUACCGAUGGCGAAGGCAGCCAUCUGGCCUAAUACUGACGCUGAGGUACGAAAGCAUGGGGAGCAAACAGGAUUAGAUACCCCCGUAGUCCCUGUCUCUAACAC
Molecule: ribosomal RNA, 301 nt
Filed under: uncultured bacterium
Lineage: Bacteria
Description: partial 16S ribosomal RNA
Rfam family: Bacterial small subunit ribosomal RNA
Source: RNAcentral